This is an RNA transcript of Oncorhynchus keta (chum salmon), 2509 nucleotides long. It is a transcript of the gene named 40S ribosomal protein S10-like, with no coding region annotated. The transcript is spliced from 5 exons. The record is from RefSeq and is a predicted model, not a curated record. NCBI's taxonomy places the organism in Eukaryota, Metazoa, Chordata, Actinopteri, Salmoniformes, Salmonidae.
CAGCUUACUUUAAUCAUUCUGUAUGAUCCCAAACAUGAGACAUGGCGUUGUCAUAACUGAAAGUGGUGUCUAAAUUGUGCUUCUUGAAACGGUAACAUUUAUUUUUAAAUGUAAUUUUUUUGGUCCUUAUUAUGACUGUUUCUACGAAUACCUACGCGUCAGCGGCACUACUUAUAACUAUGCAUGGCGGCUGCUAGUUAGUUGGCUUGCCCUGCUGUAUUCAUUCCACUGAUACAAUAAUACAAUAUAGCAUAGUCUUGGCUUUAUAACUAGCUCAUUGUAACUUUAUCGCGUAUAUCCCGGUGUAUGCCUUAAACAUUGUGUCUGAUGUUUAAAAAAAAGUGUAGUGCUACACUGCCCCCAGAGGGACCCAGGCAUUAUGUAGUGAGCUAACUGUUAGUUGGGUAACGUUAGCAAAGCGAGUAGUUAACUAGCUAGUUGUAACUACCAAUUAGCUAACUAGACAUUACUUGCCAUGAUUUAGAGACACUGACAAGUGUUCAACCUUUCUACCAUAUUUGGUUAAUCUCUUCUAUGAACUCACUCAUGGUGAAGGAAGUUCCCGAUGACUCCAACGGAGUGGCGCAGAGACCAGGCAGCAGGCUUUGUGGAAUCUUCUGACUACAUGAUUCGCCCAAGGUCAAUAUUUAAAAAGUAGUUAUGGAACGCUUAAUAAACCUUGUACAGAUAUUUGUUCUCUGUAGUUGCAUGCCUUUAUUAGCUGAAAUCCAUACUUUUUCAAUAAACGUUCAUGAACCACAACAGACUGUCCUUGUUGAGAUUCAAUUGGCAUUUGAGCAGAGUUGUCAUCUUAAAGCAACAGAAAUGAGCAAACAGUCAGUUGUAUUUUAUUGUUUAUUGAAAAAGUAUGGAUUUCAGCAAGCUGCUUCAGAGGACCAAUAUGGUAGGUGAUACAAAAUGUGUCAUUCUGAAAGUAUUGACAUUGGGCAAAUCGAUGUAGUUGGAGCAAAAUUCCACAAAGCCUGGUCUCUGCUCCACUGUUGGAGUCAUCAGAAACGUCCUUCGCUGUGUAGUUUAGUCAGCUAACUAACUACAUGUCCUGAAUUUUUGGAUACACACCCAGAAUCAGAAAUGUAUUUGAUUUACCCAGUGGGUCAAUUCAGUUGAGGUAGCCAGCAUUCCAAGUAACUUUAGCUGCCGUAUGACCAUUAUCUUUACACGCCAUGGAGGAAGUCUCAACGGCACAGCUGAUGCCUGUUAACCUUUCUUGCAUGUAACGUCAACUUGAGCGGUCUGUUAAACAGCUGACGGCCAUGUUUUUCUCCACCCCUCCAGAUGCUGAUGCCGAAGAAGAAUCGUAUAGCCAUCUACGAGCUCCUCUUCAAGGAGGGAGUGAUGGUGGCAAAAAAAGGAUGUACAUCUGGCUAAGCACCCGGAGCUGGCCAAUAAGAAUGUGCCCAACCUUCACGUUAUGAAGGCCAUGCAGUCUUUGAAGUCAACUGGGUAUGUGAAGGAGCAGUUUGCCUGGCGCCACUUCUACUGGUACCUGACCAAUGAGGGCAUCCAGUACCUGAGGGACUUCCUGCAUCUGCCCCCAGAGAUUGUUCCUGCCACUCUGCGUCGCCAGAUGCGCCCUGAGACCACUAGGCCCAGGCCUAAAGGUAUGGAGGGUGAGAGAGCUGAGAGGCCAGCCAGGUUUAACCGUGAAGGAGGCGACCGAGACAACUACAGACGUUCUGUUGCACCACCUGGUGCAGACAAGAAGGCUGAAGCAGGUGCUGGUGCAGCUACUGAGUUCCAAUUUAGAGGAGGUUUUGGACGUGGUCGAGGACAGCAACCACCACAGGAGUAAAGCAGACUGUUCUUGUACAGUAUAAUAAAAGGUGAUUGAGAUUACACCAAUGUGUCAUGAAUUUAAUUGCAUGAGAUGUCAGUGCUCAUUAUCAUAAGAUGUAUACACUUGAAUUUGUAGGUGGUAAUGACUAAGCUUAUUUUCAAAGUAGGUUAAUUUACGAACGAAUUGCUCCAUCAGCUGAAAGAAACCAAAAGAGAACUGAAAUACUGGUGUUUUUAUUAAUUGGCACAAUUCAUUUUACAUUCAGGCUUACACUUUGUACCCAUUGAAGAAAUCUGAGUUGACAACAUGGAGAUGUUUAGCCAUAUAAUUGCAAGGCCAAUUGAACAAUGAACAAAUGCCUGUCUGGACCAUUGCACGUAACGACUAACAAUUUCUGAACACCAGUCUUCAAGAAAUAUUAUCUCAUUUGAUUUAUCCUGUUAAGACCCUUAACCUUACCAGUAAACUGAAGUAAUCAAGAAUGGGGAAACACUGAUAACUACCAUCACCUGGUUAGAUGACCCAGUACAUGGCACAACCUCAUGACAGGCCUCAAGACAUUGGCAUACUGAGGAAAAUAAUGAAAUUCCUACUGGCCCUAUAGUGGGGAAAAAAAGCCAUGUAUGUCAUUUCGUCCUGGUGCGACAUUAUGACUACCAUGAGUAGGCCUAACCCUUUCUAUUUUUACAUGUGCCAUAGGCAAGUAGUCAA